Small nuclear RNA from Oryctolagus cuniculus (rabbit), 106 nucleotides. NCBI's taxonomy places the organism in Eukaryota, Metazoa, Chordata, Mammalia, Lagomorpha, Leporidae. The record is from Ensembl.
GCUCUAUUCAACAGCACACAUCACCAAAACUGGAAUGCUACUGAGAAGAUCAGUGUGGUCCCUGCACAUAGAUUACAUGCAAAUUCAUGAGUGUUCCAUAUUUUUU